RNAcentral lists this transfer RNA (83 nucleotides) under Schaalia sp. RNAcentral describes it as "tRNA-Leu". It matches the Rfam family "tRNA". From Rfam's summary of the family: Transfer RNA (tRNA) molecules are approximately 80 nucleotides in length. Their secondary structure includes four short double-helical elements and three loops (D, anti-codon, and T loops). Lineage: Bacteria; Bacillati; Actinomycetota; Actinomycetes; Actinomycetales; Actinomycetaceae. The record is from RNAcentral.
GCGCAUUUGGCGGAAUUUGGCAGACGCGCUGGAUUUAGGUUCCAGUGCCUUUGGGCGUGUGGGUUCGACUCCCACAAUGCGCA